Molecule: long non-coding RNA, 256 nt
Filed under: Mytilus galloprovincialis (Mediterranean mussel)
Lineage: Eukaryota; Metazoa; Mollusca; Bivalvia; Mytilida; Mytilidae
Source: RNAcentral
UUAACAUAUCAAGUUACAUUCAUCAUUUUAUUGCUUAUGCAAACUAAAUGCUUUAUUUUAAAGAUUUAUUUUAUUUUGAUAAAUUUAAUGAUAGAGGUUGUAAAAUUGUUGAAGAUGAAAUGGUUUGACUUUUAUUGUGCAAUGAUUUGAUUUUUUAUCCAAUAUUUUAGUACUUUUCUGUAUUUUUAGCUCACCUGGCCCAAAGGGCCAAGUGAGCUUUUCCCAUCACUUGGCGUCCGUCGUCCGUCGUCCGUCG